Molecule: ribosomal RNA, 867 nt
Filed under: Salmonella enterica subsp. enterica serovar Enteritidis str. P125109
Lineage: Bacteria; Pseudomonadati; Pseudomonadota; Gammaproteobacteria; Enterobacterales; Enterobacteriaceae
Description: partial 23S ribosomal RNA
Rfam family: Bacterial large subunit ribosomal RNA
Source: RNAcentral
GGUGCGGUAAGACGCACUGGAGGACCGAACCAGGGCACGUUGAAAAGUGCUUGGAUGACUUGUGGGUAGCGGAGAAAUUCCAAACGAACUUGGAGAUAGCUGGUUCUCUCCGAAAUAGCUUUAGGGCUAGCGUCGACAUUAGAGAUUCUUGGAGGUAGAGCACUGUUUGGGUGAGGGGUCCAUCCCGGAUUACCAAUCUCAGAUAAACUCCGAAUGCCAAUGAAUUAUGGUCGGCAGUCAGACUGCGAGUGCUAAGAUCCGUAGUCGAAAGGGAAACAGCCCAGACCACCAGCUAAGGUCCCAAAAUAAUUGUUAAGUGGAAAAGGAUGUGGGGUUGCACAGACAACUAGGAUGUUAGCUUAGAAGCAGCUAUUCAUUCAAAGAGUGCGUAAUAGCUCACUAGUCGAGUGACCCUGCGCCGAAAAUGUACCGGGGCUAAAACAAUUUACCGAAGCUGUGGAUACCUUUUAUAGGUAUGGUAGGAGAGCGUUCUAUGUGUGGUGAAGGUGUACCGUGAGGAGCGCUGGAACGCAUAGAAGUGAGAAUGCCGGUAUGAGUAGCGCAAGACAGGUGAGAAUCCUGUCCACCGUAAGACUAAGGUUUCCAGGGGAAGGCUCGUCCGCCCUGGGUUAGUCGGGACCUAAGGAGAGACCGAAAGGUGUAUCCGAUGGCCAACAGGUUGAGAUUCCUGUACUAGAGUAUGAAGUGAUGGAGGGACGCAGUAGGCUAACUCGUGCGUACGAAUGGAUGUACGUCUAAGCAGUGAGGCGUGGUAUGAGUCAAAUGCUUAUACCUCUAACGUUGAGCUGUGAUGGGGAGCGAAGUUUAGUAGCGAGUGAGUGAUGUCACACUGCCAAGAAAAGCUUC